This 715-nucleotide ribosomal RNA is filed under the name Chrysotila roscoffensis. RNAcentral describes it as "SSU rRNA". It matches the Rfam family "Bacterial small subunit ribosomal RNA", at positions 355 to 1089 of the family's 1533-position model. Lineage: Eukaryota; Haptophyta; Isochrysidales; Isochrysidaceae. The record is from RNAcentral.
UGAGGAAUUUUCCGCAAUGGGCGAAAGCCUGACGGAGCAAUACCGCGUGAGGGAUGAAGGAUUUUGGUCUGUAAACCUCUUUUUUCAAGAAAGAAGCUCUGACGGUACUUGAAGAAUAAGCAUCGGCUAACUCCGUGCCAGCAGCCGCGGUAAUACGGGGGAUGCAAGCGUUAUCCGGAAUUAUUGGGCGUAAAGCGCCUGUAGGUUGUUUAGUAAGUUUGUUGUUAAAGACUAGGGCUUAACCCUAGGAAAGCGAUGAAAACUACUAGACUUGAGUAUGGUAGGGGUAGAGGGAAUUUCUAGUGUAGUGGUGAAAUGCGUAGAUAUUAGAAAGAACACCGGUGGCGAAAGCGCUCUACUGGACCAUUACUGACACUGAGAGGCGAAAGCUAGGGGAGCAAAAGGGAUUAGAUACCCCUGUAGUCCUAGCCGUAAACGAUGGGUACUAGGUGUUGUGUUUUAUAUACAGUACCGUAGCUAACGCGUUAAGUACCCCGCCUGGGGAGUACGCUCGCAAGGGUGAAACUCAAAGGAAUUGACGGGGGCCCGCACAAGCGGUGGAGCAUGUGGUUUAAUUCGAUGCAACGCGAAGAACCUUACCAGAACUUGACAUACUACGAAUCUUCUGGAGAUAGAAGAGUGCCUUCGGGAAUGUAGAUACAGGUGGUGCAUGGCUGUCGUCAGCUCGUGUCGUGAGAUGUUGGGUUAAGUCCCG